RNAcentral lists this ribosomal RNA (1112 nucleotides) under Tenebrionoidea gen. 11 sp. NLG-2012. RNAcentral's name for it is "partial 16S ribosomal RNA". The record is from RNAcentral. Lineage: Eukaryota; Metazoa; Arthropoda; Insecta; Coleoptera.
AUCUUGAAAAUUAAAGAUUUUGGCGGUAUUUUAGUCUAUUCAGAUUACUCUGUUUUGUAAUUGAUAAUCCACGAUUAAUACUACUUUGUUUAUUAAUUUAUAUAUCGUUGUAAGAAGAAUGUCUUAGAGAAUAGUGUUUUCAGAUCAAGGUGUAGUUUAUAAUAAAGUAAAAAUGGGUUACAUUAAAAAGUUAGGGAGAAUUGGAUUUGAUAGUAAGCUCUAAAAUAUGCACAUAUCGCCCGUCGCUUUCGCUUUAAGGUGAAAUAAGUCGUAACAUAGUAGACUUAUUGGAAAAUGAGUCUAGAAUGCAAAUUAGAGCUUGAUAAGCAUUUUAUUUACAUUAAAAGGUUAAUUGUGAAAUUCAAUUUAAUUUGAAUAUAGAAUUUUAUUUAAAAUAGUAGGGGUUUAAUUUUAAUUAAAAAGUUAAGUUUUUUAUUUUUUUAUAGAAAAAAUUUUAUAAUAGUUUAUAGUAUUGUGAGAGAAGAGUAAUAUAUUGGUAAAAGAAAAUUUUAUUUGUUGUACCUUGUGUAUCAGGGUUUAUUAAUCUAUAGUUCUCGAAUUUGGAAGAGUUAGUUUUACUGUUGAAUAAGUAUUUAAAAUUUUUACUUUGUAAUGAAAUGUUAUUCGUUUUUAAAUAUAUCUAGUUUUUUAAGAAAUUAAUUUAAUUAAGGGGUUUUUAAUAUAAAAAUAAAGGGAUAAGCUUUUAAAUAAAUUUUUAAAAAUUUUUUUUGUUGAAUAAUUUAUAGGAUUAGAAUUUUCUUUUUUUGGUAGAAUGUUAUAAUUAGUUAUUUUAGAUUUAUUAUUAAAAUUUUUGAAUUAAUUGUUAAUUUUAAGGAAUAAUGAUAGAAUGAGUAAAAUUUUAUUAAGGAACUAGGCAAAUAUUUUUUCACCUGUUUAUUAAAAACAUGUCUUUUUGGUAAUAAUUUAAAGUCUGACCUGCCCAAUGAUUGAAUGGCCGCAGUAUAUUGACUGUGCAAAGGUAGCAUAAUCAUUAGUUUUUUAAUUGGAAGCUGGAAUGAAAGGUUUGAUGAGGAAAAGGCUGUCUCUAUAAUUUUAUUUUUAAGUAAGAAAGCUUAAAUUUUUUAAAAAGACGAGAAGACCCUAUAGAGUUU